AUAAAAGUUUUAUUUUGGCUUAUAAGUUUGUUAUUAGUUUAAUUUAUAUGUAAAUUUUUAUGUGAAUUUUUAUUUAUUUUAAUAGUAAAUAAAUUUUUUAUUAGUCGCAGUAAUUAGUAUUAUUAAUUAAAGAAAUUUAGAAAUAGUAAUAUUAAAGAGUAUUGGCUAAAUUUGUGCCAGCAGCCGCGGUUAUACGAAUAAUACAAAUAAAUUUUGUUUAGUUAAAGUUAGAUUGGUUUUAAUAAAAUAAAAAUAAAUUUAUUAGGUGAAAUUUUAAAUUUAUAUUAAUUUUAAAUUAAAUAAUUAAAGCUUGAAAAUUUUAUUAAUAAACUAGGAUUAGAUACCCUAUUAUUUAAAAUGUAUAAAAAAAGACUAAGGUAGUAGUAGUUAUGUUCUUGAAACUUAAAAAAUUUGGCGGUAUUUUAGUCUAUUCAGAGGAACCUGUUUUGUAAUCGAUAAUCCACGAUGGACCUUACUUAAGUUUGUAUUCAGUUUAUAUACCGUCGUUAUUAGAAUAUUUUAUGAGAAUGUUAAUUUUCAAGAUUUUUAAAUAGAAAAUAUAUCAGAUCAAGGUGUAGCUUAUAUUUAAGUAUAAAUGGGUUACAAUAAAUUUAUUUAAAUGAAUAUAAAUUUGAAAUGUUUAUUGAAGGUGGAUUUGAUAGUAAAAUUAUAAAGAUAAAUAAUUUGAUUUUAGCUCUAAAAUAUGUACACAUCGCCCGUCACUCUUAUUAUUAAGGUAAGAUAAGUCGUAACAUAGUAGAUGUACUGGAAAGUGUACCUAGAAUGCA
Molecule: non-coding RNA, 788 nt
Filed under: Peckia resona
Lineage: Eukaryota; Metazoa; Arthropoda; Insecta; Diptera; Sarcophagidae
Source: RNAcentral